Molecule: ribosomal RNA, 484 nt
Filed under: uncultured bacterium
Lineage: Bacteria
Description: eukaryotic LSU rRNA
Rfam family: Eukaryotic large subunit ribosomal RNA
Source: RNAcentral
CCGGCGAAUUUAAGCAUAUUACUAACCGGAGGAAAAAGAAACCAACAGGGACGUCCUCAGUAGCGGCGAGCGAAGCGGACGAUGCCCAAACCGAACCGCGGUUCCCGAGGGGGCCGCGGAGUGUGGAGAGGAUGAGCUCGCGAGGGGGCGGGACGGGUUCCAAUCCGUCUGGAAGGGCGGAGGCACGGAGGGCGAUUCCCCGUACGUGCUCGGUCCGUCCCCGACGAGCGAACGCAUCGGAGAGUCGGGCCGCUUGAGAGUGCAGCCCGAAUGGGGUGAUAGGUCUCAUCCAAGGCUAAGUACGUGGGAGACGCCGAUAGCGAACAAGUACGGCGACGGAAAGGUGAAAAGAACCUCGAAAGGGGGGUCAAAAAGCGCUCGAAAUCGUAGAGGGGGAAGCGGACCUGACCGACGAGACCUCGUCGUCGCUCGCGCUCGACCACGCUUCGUCGCGAGUUCCGAGGGCGUCGCCCCCGGACGCCGC